This 328-nucleotide ribosomal RNA is filed under the name uncultured eukaryote. RNAcentral's name for it is "partial 18S ribosomal RNA". It matches the Rfam family "Eukaryotic small subunit ribosomal RNA", at positions 1470 to 1796 of the family's 1831-position model. The record is from RNAcentral.
CCCUUAGAUGUCCUGGGCCGCACGCGCGUUACACUAAUGCAUUCAACGAGCUUAUAACCUUGGCCGAGAGGCCUGGGCAAUCUUGUUAACGUGCAUCGUGAUAGGGAUAGAUUAUUGAAAUUAUUAAUCUUGAACGAGGAAUUCCUAGUAAACGCAGAUCAUCAAUCUGCAUUGAUUACGUCCCUGCCCUUUGUACACACCGCCCGUCGCACCUACCGAUUGGAUGGUCCGGUGAAGCCUCGGGAUUGUGGUUCUUGCCGCUUUAUUGUGGCGUGACCGCGAGAACUUGUCUAAACCUUAUCAUCUAGAGGAAGGUGAAGUCGUAACA